GCGCUUCGGGGUCCGGUCGCCGGGGACCUGGGCUCCCCCUGUAGGGGUCGAACGGGCUUAGCCGGUUCGAAGGCGCUCCGCUCCCUCCUCUUCUCCCACAGCCGGGGGCCGCUCUUAGGGGCGCGCCGUCUCCUGGCUUCCUGAGAGGCUUUAGCCUAGAGAGGCUGAGUGUGAGGAACAGUGAUUCCCAUUGAUCCUUGUCCCCUCCGUGGGUCACAGAGUCCAGAACUUAAGAGCCACCCAAGAUCUGAAGACAGCAUGUACAC
Molecule: small RNA, 266 nt
Filed under: Pongo abelii (Sumatran orangutan)
Lineage: Eukaryota; Metazoa; Chordata; Mammalia; Primates; Hominidae
Description: processed transcript
Source: RNAcentral